CGUUUCUUUAAAAGAAAAAAAAAAUUACAAUGUCAUCAUCCAAAAUUGUCAUAGUUUGUAUCAUCCUCGUUUCACUUGCUAAUCUUCAUGAAUGUAGUUUAUUUAAAAGUGACAAGCCAUCGACCGAUCCGUUCACAGGAGAAAGGACAGGAAAACCACCAUGCAAACCAGGAAAAAAAAACUAUUUUACCUGCACUUACAAUGCAAACAUUGAUUAUCUAGAUAAUAUCAGAAGCUGUUGGAUCCUUUGCCCAAAAAGCUAAUUUGACCCAACACCUCCUUUUCAAGGAUUUAUAAAAUUUGAAGACCAUUUUAAACACCAAUUUUUUUCUUUCAUAUAUAAAUAGUAAAUAAUCAUGUUACUACACUAAAGAAAAUUAUACAUACACCUUAGUAUUGCUUCGUAACUUUUAAACUCUUUUAUUUACUCUAUAUUUUAUGUUUGUAUUAUUUAAAAGUGAGCCUUGCUCCUCUAAUGAUUUUUUGGUGAUAGAUAAAUUCAUAAAAAUCUGCUUCAGUGCCAUGUAUCAAAAUCCUCAAACUGAAGCUAAUACAUUCUUCAGUCUUUGACAUACCAUAGCGAGAAGCUAGCUAUUGCCUUUGGAAUCCUGGUGACUCCACCAGGAACAACCAUUAGAGUGACCAAGAAUCUUAGAACUUGUGUAGAUUGCCAUAAUUUUGCGAAGUUUGUAUCUGAUGUUUAUGAUCGUGUCGUGAUCGUUAGAGACCGUUCCCGAUUUCAUCAUUUUAAAAGCGGCUCUUGCUCUUGUAAUGAAUUUUGGUGAUGAUUCAAAAGGUUUGUUUCAA
Long non-coding RNA from Camelina sativa (false flax), 807 nucleotides. RefSeq lists it as uncharacterized. The record is from RefSeq and is a predicted model, not a curated record. NCBI's taxonomy places the organism in Eukaryota, Viridiplantae, Streptophyta, Magnoliopsida, Brassicales, Brassicaceae.